RNAcentral lists this transfer RNA (82 nucleotides) under Termitomyces sp. T159_Od127. RNAcentral's name for it is "tRNA-Gly". It matches the Rfam family "tRNA". Rfam says of the family: Transfer RNA (tRNA) molecules are approximately 80 nucleotides in length. Their secondary structure includes four short double-helical elements and three loops (D, anti-codon, and T loops). Lineage: Eukaryota; Fungi; Basidiomycota; Agaricomycetes; Agaricales; Lyophyllaceae. The record is from RNAcentral.
GCAUUAAUGGGGUAGUGGUAACCUGGGUCGUUGCCAUUAUGAGAAACUCGACCCGCCGGGGGUUCGAUUCCCCCUUAAUGCA